GGCCAGCAGCCGCGGUAAUACAGAGGUCCCGAGCGUUGUUCGGAUUUACUGGGCGUAAAGGGUGCGUAGGCGGUUGGGUAAGUCUGAUGUGAAAUCCCCGGGCUCAACCCGGGAAUGGCAUCGGAAACUACCUGGCUUGAGGAUUGGAGGGGGGACUGGAAUUCCCGGUGUAGCAGUGAAAUGCGUAGAUAUCGGGAGGAACACCAGUGGCGAAGGCGAGUCCCUGGACAAUUCCUGACGCUGAGGCACGAAAGCCAGGGGAGCAAACAGGAUUAGAUACCCUGGUAGUCCUGGCUGUAAACGGUGCACGUUUGCUGUGAGCGGAAUCGACCCCGUUCGUGGCGAAGCUAACGCGUUAAACGUGCCGCCUGGGGAGUACGGUCGCAAGAUUAAAACUCAAAGGAAUUGACGGGGGCCCGCACA
Molecule: ribosomal RNA, 423 nt
Filed under: uncultured bacterium
Lineage: Bacteria
Description: bacterial SSU rRNA
Rfam family: Bacterial small subunit ribosomal RNA
Source: RNAcentral